This 242-nucleotide unclassified non-coding RNA is filed under the name Glomeraceae sp. RNAcentral's name for it is "partial contains 5.8S ribosomal RNA and internal transcribed spacer 2". The stretch from base 1 to 71 matches the Rfam family "5.8S ribosomal RNA", at positions 84 to 154 of the family's 154-position model. The record is from RNAcentral. Lineage: Eukaryota; Fungi; Glomeromycota; Glomeromycetes; Glomerales; Glomeraceae.
GUGAAUCAUCAAAUUUUUGAACGCAAAUUGCGCUUCCUGGCAUCCCGGGAAGUAUGCCUGUUUGAGGGUCAGUAUUAAUAAAAAAUCGGUUUAGUUACAAAUUGUGACGUUUCCGGAGUUUGGGCUAUCUUAACAUUUUUGGUUAAGAGGCUUAAAAUUGACUUUUUUGGGGCAUUUUUAAAGGAACAUAAAUUUUUUUAUUCUUCUAUUUUUAUUGCCAAAUUUUUAUUAAUUGCGAUCAC